Molecule: non-coding RNA, 73 nt
Organism: Fusarium mangiferae
Lineage: Eukaryota; Fungi; Ascomycota; Sordariomycetes; Hypocreales; Nectriaceae
Source: the annotation of a RefSeq genome assembly
GCCCGUAUGGCCUAAUGGCUAAGGCGUCUGACUGUGAAUCAGAAGAUUCCGAGUUCGACCCUCGGUAUGGGCU